UAUAAUAAAUAUUUUAUUAUAGUAAUAAAAUUUUAUUUUAAUUUUUUUUUACAUUUAAUAUUUUUAAAUUUAAAUAAAUUUUUAAAUAAAAAUAAAUUUAAUAAAAUUCUAAGUAAUUAAUAUUUUAAAUUAAUUAAUGUUUGAAUAAGAAAUAAUUUAAAGAAUUGAUAAAAUUUGUGCCAGCAAUCGCGGUUAUACAAAUAAUUCAAUUAAAAUUUAUUAAAAAAUAAGUUUUUAAAAAAAUUAUAAAAAUAAUUAGUUUUAAAAAAUUAAGUGAAAUUUUUUUUUUAAAAUUUAAAUUUUAUUUUAUUUUUAAUUUUUAGUUAAAUUUAGUAUAAAAACUAGGAUUAGAUACCCUAUUAUUUAAUAUUUAUUAAUAAAAAUUUUUAGGUAGUAAAAGAAAUUUUUAUAUUCUUAAAACUUAAAUAAUUUGGCGGUAUUUUAGACUAUUUAAAGGAAUUUGUUAGUUAAUUGAUAAUCCACAAUUUACCUUACUUAAUUUAUUAAUUUGUAUAUCGUUGUCAUCAGAAUAUUUUAAAAGAAUUAAAUAAUUUUCGAAAUUUAAAAUAUUUUAAUAUGUCAAAUCAAGGUGCAGUUUAUAAUUAAGUCUAUAAAAUGAAUUACAAUAAUUUUUAUUUUUGGAUUAUUAGUUUAAUAAUUUAAUAUGAAAUUGGAUUUAAAAGUAAAUUUAUAAAAUAAAAAUAAUUUGAUUUUAGCUCUAAAAUAUGCACAUAUCGCCCGUCGCUCUCGUUAUAUUUUUAUAAAAUGAGAUAAGUCGUAACAUAGUAGAUAUAUUGGAAAAUGUAUCUAGAAAGA
This 816-nucleotide non-coding RNA is filed under the name Thienemanniella tusimufegea. Lineage: Eukaryota; Metazoa; Arthropoda; Insecta; Diptera; Chironomidae. The record is from RNAcentral.